Long non-coding RNA from Alligator sinensis (Chinese alligator), 261 nucleotides. RefSeq lists it as uncharacterized. The record is from RefSeq and is a predicted model, not a curated record. The transcript is spliced from 3 exons. Lineage: Eukaryota; Metazoa; Chordata; Crocodylia; Alligatoridae.
GAGGAGAGCAGGGGAAUGCCAUCCCACUAGAAGUAACCAAACCAAGACAGGGAAGAGACAGCGGGGUGCUUGUGACCAUGAGAGCUAUCCAAAGGGAGAGAGGGAAGGAGUUCCCAGAGUCACACCAAAGUCUGGGGCACUACAGGUGUGGCAGGAGAGUACAAGAAGGACAGCAAGACCAGACACAGGCACUCAACUGGUUCGCAGUCUCAAUGCCUUUUCAAUAUGUUCCUGUAAGUACCGGCGCAUGAGAUAGUCAAG